Molecule: ribosomal RNA, 274 nt
Filed under: uncultured bacterium
Lineage: Bacteria
Description: partial 16S ribosomal RNA
Rfam family: Bacterial small subunit ribosomal RNA
Source: RNAcentral
AUACGGAGGGUGCAAGCGUUACUCGGAAUCACUGGGCGUAAAGCGCGCGCAGGCGGCUUGAUAAGUUGGAUGUGAAAGCCUACGGCUCAACUGUAGAACUGCAUCCAAAACUGUCAGGCUAGAGUGUGGGAGAGGAAGAUGGAAUUAGUUGUGUAGGGGUAAAAUCCGUAGAGAUAACUAGGAAUACCAAAAGCGAAGGCAAUCUUCUGGAACACUACCGACGCUGAGGCGCGAAGGCGUGGGGAGCAAACAGGAUUAGAAACCCUAGUAGUCC